GACGUAGGGCGCGAGCGUUGUCCGGAUUUAUUGGGCGUAAAGGGCGCGUAGGCGGCCAUGCGUGUCUUCCGUGAAAUCCCUCGGCUUAACUGAGGACGUGCGGAAGAAACUGCAAGGCUCGAGUCCGGGAGAGGGGGGUGGAAUUCCCAGUGUAGCGGUGAAAUGCGUAGAUAUUGGGAGGAACACCGGUGGCGAAGGCGGCCCCCUGGACCGGUACUGACGCUGAGGCGCGAAAGCGUGGGGAGCAAACAGG
This 253-nucleotide ribosomal RNA is filed under the name uncultured bacterium. RNAcentral describes it as "partial 16S ribosomal RNA". It matches the Rfam family "Bacterial small subunit ribosomal RNA", at positions 524 to 776 of the family's 1533-position model. The record is from RNAcentral.